GCUGGGCGUGGUGGCACAUGCCUGUAGUCCCAACUACUUGGGAGGCUGAGGCAGGAGGAUCACUUGAGCCCAGGAAGUCACGGGUGCAGUGAGUCCCAGUUGUGCCACUGCACUCUAGCCUGGGCAACAGAGCAAGACCCUGUCUCAA
Molecule: non-coding RNA, 148 nt
Organism: Gorilla gorilla gorilla (western lowland gorilla)
Lineage: Eukaryota; Metazoa; Chordata; Mammalia; Primates; Hominidae
Rfam family: Metazoan signal recognition particle RNA
About the family: The signal recognition particle (SRP) is a universally conserved ribonucleoprotein. It is involved in the co-translational targeting of proteins to membranes.
Source: Rfam